Molecule: ribosomal RNA, 396 nt
Filed under: uncultured bacterium
Lineage: Bacteria
Description: bacterial SSU rRNA
Rfam family: Bacterial small subunit ribosomal RNA
Source: RNAcentral
UAAUACGUAGGUGGCAAGCGUUGUCCGGAAUUAUUGGGCGUAAAGCGCGCGCAGGCGGGAUAUUAAGUCUGUUUUAAAAGUUCGGGGCUCAACCCCGUGAUGGAAUGGAAACUAAUAUUCUUGAGUGCAGGAGAGGAAAGUGGAAUUCCCAGUGUAGCGGUGAAAUGCGUAGAUAUUGGGAGGAACACCAGUGGCGAAGGCGACUUUCUGGACUGUGUCUGACGCUGAGGCGCGAAAGCCAGGGGAGUGAACGGGAUUAGAUACCCCGGUAAUCCUGGCCGUAAACGAUGGGUACUAGGUGUAGGAGGUAUCGACCCCUUCUGUGCCGGAGUUAACGCAAUAAGUACCCCGCCUGGGGAGUACGGCCGCAAGGUUGAAACUUAAAGGAAUUGACGG